Molecule: non-coding RNA, 446 nt
Organism: Paramuricea clavata
Lineage: Eukaryota; Metazoa; Cnidaria; Anthozoa; Malacalcyonacea; Plexauridae
Source: the annotation of a GenBank genome assembly
AAACGAAAGAAGCUAUAUCGCCAUGAGUUCAUCGCCUGAAGACGAAACAUCUGAUUCAGACGAGUCUAGCGAUGUAAGGCUGUAUUUUUGGAUGUUAAUGUAAAAAAGAAAAGUAUCCAAAUUGCUGUAAAAUUCGGUUCAAUUGAUAAUUAUGUAACACUAAACACUGUAUACACAUAUGGUCGCUCAACCGAGGAUACUUUACUGUGGCUGUAAAUCGCAAUGUAUGCGCAAGUUAAAGACCUCUACGAAUGGAAAGGUGACUGCAUGUCAUGGCUUUCAUUGCAGAGGAAUCGCGUGAACUUGUGGUACGAGGAGUAAACCAUGUAAAAAUAUAUAAAAGGUAUGUACAGUAUUUGAGUUGAAAUAUCAAUAAGUUUCUCUGAUUUUGAAUAUUUGUAUUUGAUUUGAUUUUGAUAUGAGCAAGCUGCAUAUUUAUACAGUGA